This 504-nucleotide long non-coding RNA is filed under the name Mus spicilegus (steppe mouse). RNAcentral describes it as "lncRNA (ENSMSIG00000007477.1)". The record is from RNAcentral. Lineage: Eukaryota; Metazoa; Chordata; Mammalia; Rodentia; Muridae.
CUUCAGGUUCCUCUUGUUGACAAUGAGGAUAACAGGUACACCGGCUGUUCAGGGUUGCGUGGUCAUGCAAUGAUGUCCCUGUAAAUCACAGGGCACAAAGCUGGAUGCAUGUUAAGGGCUCCAUCAGAUUGGCCACUUACGUUUGCUCUAAGACGUACCUUGUAAGUUUCCAUUGUGAUCGAAGUCACUAGGCUCCACCAGAAACGCAGGGCUGGUACACAGGCAUUCAUAUUUAAAAACCAUUUCCCCCAGGAGAUUCUACAUGCCUGAUCCGAUUCAACUCCCUCAUUUACAGAAAGACAAAGUCUGUACCUCCCUGAGCAGCUGUGGAUUAAGAGAUGUGAUGAUGGUGGGGCUAGAGAUAUGGCUCAACGGUGAAAAGACUUGUAUUCGGCUCCCAACAUCCUCUUCAAGGUCCCAAGCAGCUCUGUACAGGGAAGAUGCACAUCUGCCUUCUGUGAGAAUGAAGGGGGGAAAAAGCAGACUUGGAACACCCAUUACCAG